This 497-nucleotide ribosomal RNA is filed under the name uncultured bacterium. RNAcentral's name for it is "partial 16S ribosomal RNA". It matches the Rfam family "Bacterial small subunit ribosomal RNA", at positions 28 to 507 of the family's 1533-position model. The record is from RNAcentral.
GAUGAACGCUGGCGGCGUGCCUAAUACAUGCAAGUCGAGCGAACAGACUAGGAGCUUGCUCCUCUGACGUUAGCGGCGGACGGGUGAGUAACACGUGGAUAACCUACCUAUAAGACUGGGAUAACUUCGGGAAACCGGAGCUAAUACCGGAUAAUAUAUUGAACCGCAUGGUUCAAUAGUGAAAGACGGUUUUGCUGUCACUUAUAGAUGGAUCCGCGCCGCAUUAGCUAGUUGGUAAGGUAACGGCUUACCAAGGCAACGAUGCGUAGCCGACCUGAGAGGGUGAUCGGCCACACUGGAACUGAGACACGGUCCAGACUCCUACGGGAGGCAGCAGUAGGGAAUCUUCCGCAAUGGGCGAAAGCCUGACGGAGAAACGCAGCGUGAGUGAUGAAGGUCUUCGGAUCGUAAAACUCUGUUAUUAGGGAAGAACAAAUGUGUAAGUAACUAUGCACGUCUUGACGGUACCUAAUCAGAAAGCCACGGCUAACUACGUG